This 72-nucleotide transfer RNA is filed under the name Varanus niloticus (Nile monitor). Its description in RNAcentral is "tRNA-Gln". It matches the Rfam family "tRNA". Rfam says of the family: Transfer RNA (tRNA) molecules are approximately 80 nucleotides in length. The record is from RNAcentral. Lineage: Eukaryota; Metazoa; Chordata; Lepidosauria; Squamata; Varanidae.
UAGGAGUUAGUAUAAUGGGAAGUACGUAAAAUUUUGGGUUUUAUGGUGUAGGUUCGAGUCCUGCUUUCUAGG